GUCUACCAUCAUCCCACCCUGAACGCACUUGAUUUCAUCUGAACUCAAAAGCUAAGCUGAGUCAAGGCCUGGUAGGUACUUGGAAGGGAGACCAAGUGGGAGGUAGAAAAUGGAUGGCAUAUU
Non-coding RNA from Ictidomys tridecemlineatus (thirteen-lined ground squirrel), 123 nucleotides. The record is from Rfam. NCBI's taxonomy places the organism in Eukaryota, Metazoa, Chordata, Mammalia, Rodentia, Sciuridae.